Molecule: ribosomal RNA, 406 nt
Filed under: uncultured bacterium
Lineage: Bacteria
Description: partial 16S ribosomal RNA
Rfam family: Bacterial small subunit ribosomal RNA
Source: RNAcentral
AUCGAACGCUGGCGGCAGGCCUAACACAUGCAAGUCGAGCGAGCAGCGGACGGGUGAGUAAUGUAUGGGGAUCUGGCCGACAGAGGGGGAUACCUACGGGAAACCGUGGCUAAUACCGCAGACUGUCGGAUGAAGCCAUAUUGGAUUAGCUAGGAGGUGGGGUAAAGGUUCACCUAGGUGACGAUGUAUAGCAGGUCUGAGAGGAUGAACAGCCACACUGGGACUGAGACACGGCCCAGACUCCUACGGGAGGCAGCAGUGGGGAAUAUUGCACAAUGGGCGCAAGCCUGAUGCAGCCAUGCCGCGUGUAUGAAGAAGGCCUUAGGGUCGUAAAGUUCUUUCGUCGGGGAGGCGUUACCCAAAGAGGAAGCAACGGCUAACUCCGUGCCAGCCGCCGCGGUAAUAC